GUUCCGCCACAACGGCUUCCUGACGUGGCGGUGAAACCCAAUGGAGCA
This is a regulatory RNA element of 48 nucleotides. It matches the Rfam family "SAM/SAH riboswitch aptamer". The record is from Rfam.